UACGAAGGGGGCUAGCGUUGCUCGGAAUUACUGGGCGUAAAGCGCACGUAGGCGGCUUUCUAAGUCGGGGGUGAAAUCCUGGAGCUCAACUCCAGAACUGCCUUCGAUACUGGAGAGCUUGAGUCCGGGAGAGGUGAGUGGAACUGCGAGUGUAGAGGUGAAAUUCGUAGAUAUUCGCAAGAACACCAGUGGCGAAGGCGGCUCACUGGCCCGGUACUGACGCUGAGGUGCGAAAGCGUGGGUAGCAAACAGG
Molecule: ribosomal RNA, 253 nt
Filed under: uncultured bacterium
Lineage: Bacteria
Description: partial 16S ribosomal RNA
Rfam family: Bacterial small subunit ribosomal RNA
Source: RNAcentral